CACGCGCACCCGUGUAUUUUCUUCGUCGAACAUGAAUAUUUAAAAAAAAGCGUCUAAAAGUGUUUUAAAACUCCUUACAUUUAAAAAAUGUGAAAAGUUAAAAGCGCCAAACUUUAGUUUAAACACACGUUGAGAGAUUUCAGAGGGAAAACUUCUUCCGUGUGGCAGAGAAUAGCUUGUUUAUUUCAAGCUAGCGUGGAUAUUUGUGGAGAGUGAAGAGAGAAAAACAACACCUGGUUUAAGAUAAGGCGCCAUGAAGCUGAGGCAGACGACGAACGCAGUGCCCCCUACCACAGACUGUGCAUCCCACUCCCCUCCGGGAGGCGUUACAGGUCUCUCCGCAGCAGGUUCUGCAUCUCAGUGACAACCAACCAACUGUUAUGCAACCAUGUAGUCCAAGUUCCACAAUUAUUGUAUGGCAUUAUGUCUGUAUCAGUAUUUGCUUUCUACCAUACACAAAUAAAAAUGUCACUG
This is a long non-coding RNA of Solea solea (common sole), 474 nucleotides long. RefSeq lists it as uncharacterized. The transcript has 2 exons. Lineage: Eukaryota; Metazoa; Chordata; Actinopteri; Pleuronectiformes; Soleidae. The record is from RefSeq and is a predicted model, not a curated record.